AUCCCGUGGUGAGGGCAUUUACGCAGUAGCUCUUUGAAUCUUUCUCAUACCUCGUAUAGGGACUCAUCAUCCAUCUACUGAAAAGUGGUGAUCUCAUUCGAAACU
Non-coding RNA from Gossypium arboreum, 105 nucleotides. The record is from Rfam. NCBI's taxonomy places the organism in Eukaryota, Viridiplantae, Streptophyta, Magnoliopsida, Malvales, Malvaceae.